Molecule: ribosomal RNA, 358 nt
Filed under: Eukaryota sp.
Lineage: Eukaryota
Description: SSU rRNA
Rfam family: Eukaryotic small subunit ribosomal RNA
Source: RNAcentral
AGCGUUAACGAACGAGACCUUAACCUGCUAAAUAGUUAGGCCAACGUUUGUUGGUCGUCAACUUCUUAGAGGGACUAUUGACUAUUAGUCAAUGGAAGUUUGAGGCAAUAACAGGUCUGUGACGCCCUUAGAUGUUCUGGGCCGCACGCGCGCUACACUGAUGAAGUCAACAAGUUAAUUUUGUCCUUGGCUGGAAAGCCUGGGUAAUCUUCUGAAACUUCAUCGUGCUGGGGAUAGUUCAUUGUAAUUAUUGAACUUCAACGAGGAAUUCCUAGUAAGCACAAGUCAUCAGCUUGUGUUGAUUACGUCCCUGCCCUUUGUACACACCGCCCGUCGCUAAUACCGAUUGAAUGGUUAU